Molecule: small nuclear RNA, 270 nt
Filed under: Marmota monax (woodchuck)
Lineage: Eukaryota; Metazoa; Chordata; Mammalia; Rodentia; Sciuridae
Description: 7SK RNA
Rfam family: 7SK RNA
About the family: 7SK was discovered as an abundant small nuclear RNA in the mid-70s but a possible function has only recently been suggested. Two independent studies have found that 7SK RNA binds the CDK9/cyclin T complex (known as elongation factor P-TEFb). P-TEFb activates transcription by phosphorylating the C-terminal domain of RNA polymerase II.
Source: Rfam by way of RNAcentral
GGAUGUGAGGGUCAAUUGGCUGCAACAUCUGUCACCCCACUGAUUGCCAGGGUUGAUUUGGCUCUCUCGGUGGGUGUCCCCUUCCUCCCUCACAGCUCCAUGUGAGUCCCUCCUGAAGCCACACAUUCAGUGGAAGAGGACAACCUUCCUUGAUAAAGGAAGAAAUGUUCUUAAGUUAAGGGUAUGGGAGUAGGUGCUGGAACCCCCCCCCCCCAAACAAACCAACAGAAACAUGUGAAGCCUCCAAAUGCCUCAUGCCUGCUUUUCUCU